CGCUGGCGGCGUGCCUAACACAUGCAAGUCGAACGAAGCAUUUGGAGCUGAUCCCUUCGGGGUGACGCACCUUAUGACUUAGUGGCGGACGGGUGAGUAACACGUGAGCAACCUGCCUCUCAGAGUGGAAUAACAGUUGGAAACGGCUGCUAAUACCACAUAACGUUUUUGUGCCGCAUGACACUUCAACCAAAGAUUUAUCGCUGAGAGAUGGGCUCGCGUCCGAUUAGGUAGAUGGUGGGGUAACGGCCUACCAUGCCGACGAUCGGUAGCCGGACUGAGAGGUUGAUCGGCCACAUUGGGACUGAGACACGGCCCAGACUCCUACGGGAGGCAGCAGUGGGGGAUAUUGCACAAUGGGCGCCAAGCCUGAUGCAGCAACGCCGCGUGCGGGAAGACGGCCUUCGGGUUGUAAACCGCUGUCCUUGGGGAAGAAACAAAUGACGGUAACCCAAGAAGGAAGCCACGGCUAACUACGUGCCAGCCGCCGC
This 491-nucleotide ribosomal RNA is filed under the name uncultured bacterium. Its description in RNAcentral is "bacterial SSU rRNA". It matches the Rfam family "Bacterial small subunit ribosomal RNA", at positions 34 to 518 of the family's 1533-position model. The record is from RNAcentral.